GACGAACGCUGGCGGCGUGCUUAACACAUGCAAGUCGAACGGAAAGGCCCUGCUUUUGUGGGGUGCUCGAGUGGCGAACGGGUGAGUAACACGUGAGUAACCUGCCCUUGACUUUGGGAUAACUUCAGGAAACUGGGGCUAAUACCGGAUAGGAGCUCCUGCUGCAUGGUGGGGGUUGGAAAGUUUCGGCGGUUGGGGAUGGACUCGCGGCUUAUCAGCUGGUUGGUGGGGUAGUGGCUUACCAAGGCUUUGACGGGUAGCCGGCCUGAGAGGGUGACCGGCCACAUUGGGACUGAGAUACGGCCCAGACUCCUACGGGAGGCAGCAGGGGGGAAUAUUGCACAAUGGGCGGAAGCCUGAGGCAGCAACGCCGCGUGCGGGAUGACGGCCUUCGGGUUGUAAACCGCUUUCGCCUGUGACGAAGCGUGAGUGACGGUAAUGGGUAAAGAAGCACCGGCUAACUACGU
Molecule: ribosomal RNA, 467 nt
Filed under: uncultured bacterium
Lineage: Bacteria
Description: partial 16S ribosomal RNA
Rfam family: Bacterial small subunit ribosomal RNA
Source: RNAcentral